RNAcentral lists this ribosomal RNA (1338 nucleotides) under uncultured bacterium. RNAcentral describes it as "bacterial SSU rRNA". It matches the Rfam family "Bacterial small subunit ribosomal RNA", at positions 28 to 1387 of the family's 1533-position model. The record is from RNAcentral.
AACGAACGCUGGCGGCGUGGAUAAGACAUGCAAGUCGAACGAGAGAAUUGCUAGCUUGCUAAUAAUUCUCUAGUGGCGCACGGGUGAGUAACACGUGAGUAACCUGCCCCCGAGAGCGGGAUAGCCCUGGGAAACUGGGAUUAAUACCGCAUAGUAUCGAAAGAUUAAAGCAGCAAUGCGCUUGGGGAUGGGCUCGCGGCCUAUUAGUUAGUUGGUGAGGUAACGGCUCACCAAGGCGAUGACGGGUAGCCGGUCUGAGAGGAUGUCCGGCCACACUGGAACUGAGACACGGUCCAGACACCUACGGGUGGCAGCAGUCGAGAAUCAUUCACAAUGGGGGAAACCCUGAUGGUGCGACGCCGCGUGGGGGAAUGAAGGUCUUCGGAUUGUAAACCCCUGUCAUGUGGGAGCAAAUUAAAAAGAUAGUACCACAAGAGGAAGAGACGGCUAACUCUGUGCCAGCAGCCGCGGUAAUACAGAGGUCUCAAGCGUUGUUCGGAAUCACUGGGCGUAAAGCGUGCGUAGGCUGUUUCGUAAGUCGUGUGUGAAAGGCGCGGGCUCAACCCGCGGACGGCACAUGAUACUGCGAGACUAGAGUAAUGGAGGGGGAACCGGAAUUCUCGGUGUAGCAGUGAAAUGCGUAGAUAUCGAGAGGAACACUCGUGGCGAAGGCGGGUUCCUGGACAUUAACUGACGCUGAGGCACGAAGGCCAGGGGAGCGAAAGGGAUUAGAUACCCCUGUAGUCCUGGCAGUAAACGGUGCACGCUUGGUGUGCGGGGAAUCGACCCCCUGCGUGCCGGAGCUAACGCGUUAAGCGUGCCGCCUGGGGAGUACGGUCGCAAGAUUAAAACUCAAAGAAAUUGACGGGGACCCGCACAAGCGGUGGAGUAUGUGGCUUAAUUCGAUGCAACGCGAAGAACCUUACCUGGGCUUGACAUGUAAUGAACAACAUGUGAAAGCAUGCGACUCUUCGGAGGCGUUACACAGGUGCUGCAUGGCCGUCGUCAGCUCGUGUCGUGAGAUGUUUGGUUAAGUCCAGCAACGAGCGCAACCCCUGUUGCCAGUUACCAGCACGUGAAGGUGGGGACUCUGGCGAGACUGCCCAGAUCAACUGGGAGGAAGGUGGGGAGGACGUCAGGUCAGUAUGGCCCUUAUGCCCAGGGCUGCACACGUACUACAAUGCCCAGUACAGAGGGGGCGGAAGCCGCGAGGCGGAGGAAAUCCUGAAAACUGGGCCCAGUUCGGACUGUAGGCUGCAACCCGCCUACACGAAGCCGGAAUCGCUAGUAAUGGCGCAUCAGCUACGGCGCCGUGAAUAAGUUCCCGGGUCUUGUACU